RNAcentral lists this ribosomal RNA (412 nucleotides) under uncultured bacterium. RNAcentral's name for it is "bacterial SSU rRNA". It matches the Rfam family "Bacterial small subunit ribosomal RNA", at positions 32 to 423 of the family's 1533-position model. The record is from RNAcentral.
AAUCAACGCUGGCGGCGUGCCUCAGACAUGCAAGUCGAACGCGAAAGUUCCCUUCGGGGAGCAAGUAGAGUGGCGCACGGGUGAGUAACACGUAGGUAAUCUACCUUUGGAUGGGGAAUAACAACCGGAAACGGUUGCUAAUACCGCAUAAUGCAGCGGCACCUAAUGGUGACAGUUGUUAAAGCGGGGGAUCGAAAGACCUCGCGUCUGAAGAGGAGCCUGCGGCGGAUUAGCUAGUUGGUAAGGUAACGGCUUACCAAGGCGAUGAUCCGUAGCCGGCCUGAGAGGGCGGUCGGCCACACUGACACUGACAUACGGGUCAGACUCCUACGGGAGGCAGCAGUCGGGAAUUUUGGGCAAUGGGCGAAAGCCUGACCCAGCAACGCCGCGUGAAGGAUGAAAUCCCUCGGGA